This 1486-nucleotide ribosomal RNA is filed under the name uncultured bacterium. Its description in RNAcentral is "partial 16S ribosomal RNA". It matches the Rfam family "Bacterial small subunit ribosomal RNA". The record is from RNAcentral.
AGAGUUUGAUCCUGGCUCAGGAUGAACGCUAGCGGCAGGCUUAACACAUGCAAGUCGAGGGGGAUUGGUUUUCGGACCAAGAGACCGGCGCACGGGUGCGUAACGCGUAUGCAAUCUACCUUUCACAGAGGGAUAGCCCAGAGAAAUUUGGAUUAAUACCUCAUAGUAUAUAGAAGUGGCAUCACUUUUAUAUUAAAGUCACAACGGUGAAAGAUGAGCAUGCGUCCCAUUAGCUAGUUGGUAAGGUAACGGCUUACCAAGGCAACGAUGGGUAGGGGUCCUGAGAGGGAGAUCCCCCACACUGGUACUGAGACACGGACCAGACUCCUACGGGAGGCAGCAGUGAGGAAUAUUGGUCAAUGGACGCAAGUCUGAACCAGCCAUGCCGCGUGCAGGAUGACGGUCCUAUGGAUUGUAAACUGCUUUUGUACAGGAAGAAACAGUUCUACGUGUAGAACCUUGACGGUACUGUAAGAAUAAGGAUCGGCUAACUCCGUGCCAGCAGCCGCGGUAAUACGGAGGAUCCAAGCGUUAUCCGGAAUCAUUGGGUUUAAAGGGUCCGUAGGCGGUUUAGUAAGUCAGUGGUGAAAGCCCAUCGCUCAACGGUGGAACGGCCAUUGAUACUGCUAGACUUGAAUUAUUAGGAAGUAACUAGAAUAUGUAGUGUAGCGGUGAAAUGCUUAGAGAUUACAUGGAAUACCAAUUGCGAAGGCAGGUUACUACUAAUGGAUUGACGCUGAUGGACGAAAGCGUGGGUAGCGAACAGGAUUAGAUACCCUGGUAGUCCACGCCGUAAACGAUGGAUACUAGCUGUUGGGGGCAACUUCAGUGGCUAAGCGAAAGUGAUAAGUAUCCCACCUGGGGAGUACGUUCGCAAGAAUGAAACUCAAAGGAAUUGACGGGGGCCCGCACAAGCGGUGGAGCAUGUGGUUUAAUUCGAUGAUACGCGAGGAACCUUACCAAGGCUUAAAUGUAGAUUGACCGGUUUGGAAACAGACUUUUCGCAAGACAAUUUACAAGGUGCUGCAUGGUUGUCGUCAGCUCGUGCCGUGAGGUGUCAGGUUAAGGCUCGCAACGAGCGCAACCCUUGUCCUUAGUUGCCAGCACGUAAUGGUGGGAACUCUAAGGAGACUGCCGGUGACAAACCGGAGGAAGGUGGGGAUGACGUCAAGUCAUCAUGGCCCUUACGGCCAGGGCUACACACGUACUACAAUGGUAGGGACAGAGGGCUGCAAACCCGCGAGGGCAAGCCAAUCCCAGAAAGCCGUUCUCAGUCCGGAUCGGAGUCUGCAACUCGACUCCGUGAAGUCGGAAUCGCUAGUAAUCGCAGAUCAGCAUUGCUGCGGUGAAUACGUUCCCGGGCCUUGUACACACCGCCCGUCACACCAUGGGAGUUUGUUGCACCAGAAGCAGGUAGCUUAACCUUCGGGAGGGCGCUUGCCACGGUGUGGCAGAUGACUGGGGUGAAGUCGUAACAAGGUAACCU